AUUUCUUUCAACAGCUUGGAGCAUGAUUACCUAAACAAAUGUGAUCUCAUCCAGCCACUCCUGGAAUAAUGAAAUGGACUCAGAGAUGAUGACAAAUGCAUUUAUUUCCUGAUCUAUAUUUAAAUUCAAAAGAGCCAAAAGGGAAAUUGUUUUCUUUCUAGUUCUGCGUAGCAAGUUUUCUUCAAGCGGGAAUUGGAAAGGAAGAGGACAUAGCGAGUGUUUGCAUGAAAUGAGUUUUAGGGAACAAACAUCUAUUUAAUCCAGAAACAGAAUUUACUUCUUUGAAGAUUUGAAGGAAUAAACUAGACAAGCAGAGCUCAAAGUGUAGGAAUAACACUUUGUCACCAUCCCUAGUCCAUAUGUCAGCGGAGUCCAUGGAAUCGCAGUGUCUUUAAUCCUUCGUCCAGCCUGGGGAGAUGAUGGUCCAGUCAGCAACAGUUGAAGAAACCACAUGAGUUCCAGGCAUCGUGUGCAAUUCUGUCCCAAGCUGCUAUGCAGUCUAACGAGAGACAAAUCAUAUGUUAAAAAGUAGCAUCAAACAUACACUCGAUAGAGGGGAAAACCCAGAUUUGCAGAAACUC
This is a long non-coding RNA of Crotalus tigris (Tiger rattlesnake), 581 nucleotides long. RefSeq lists it as uncharacterized. The transcript is spliced from 4 exons. The record is from RefSeq and is a predicted model, not a curated record. Lineage: Eukaryota; Metazoa; Chordata; Lepidosauria; Squamata; Viperidae.